This 41019-nucleotide long non-coding RNA is filed under the name Brassica napus (rape). The record is from RNAcentral. Lineage: Eukaryota; Viridiplantae; Streptophyta; Magnoliopsida; Brassicales; Brassicaceae.
UCUAUAGAUUUUUUUAAUUUAUAUGUAUUCUAAAAAAUUGGUUUUUACGUUAGGCUAAUUCUAAUGAUUCUAGUGUUUUUUAUUUAUUUUGUUGUACAAAAAAACUUUUUGAAUUACCUGUAGAAAGCGAUUUCCCUAAGGAAAAAGCUUUCAACGAUGUCCAAUAUCCCUUCCUUUUCCAAAUUUUUUUACGAAUACGCUUUUUCGAGAUAGAAGUACGUUUUUUUGGAACUGCCAUUCAAAAAUGAAAAAAGUUUUUGAGUGGUAUAAUUGGAUGUCAAAGACAUUUAUUAUUCUAUUCUUUCGUACUCCAUAUUGAGUAAUUUGUUUCUUUCAAAUUUUAUUAUAUAUUAUUUUUCAAACAAAACAGACAUUCAAAAGGGAGAAUCGAUGACUGCAUCAAAGAUGCACUUGUUAGUACACCUGCAAAUUCUGAAUUGGCUAGUUGUAAAUAGCCCCAGGACUAUGGAAUAAAGGAUUAUCCCGGACCUACACCGAGGUAUUGACGGUGAUUCUCAAAUAUUACAGAACAGAAUGUGAUACGAUGAGAUAGAAUGCAAUAGAAACAAAGACACAGUGAACGGGUUACCUACUCUUACAUUCAGAAUUCUUGAAUUCGGAAUGAAUCAAAUCUCCCCAAGUAGGAUUCGAACCUACGACCAAUCAGUUAACAGCCGGCCGCUCUACCACUGAGCUACUGAGGAACAACGGGAGAUUAGAUCUCCUAGAGUUCAAUUCCCGUUCUCAACCCAUGACCAAUAUGAAUUUUCUAAAAAAAGAAUUAGAAAAAAAGGGGGGGGGGGUUAUUCCCCGAUCGUUGAUCGUAUCUCUAAAUUUUUUUAUCCUUUCUGAUGUUAAUAACUAGAAUUAAAAAAAAAGGGAAAUGUUAAUGCAUCUGGAAAUAAACGAUUAAUCUCUAUUAAUAAACCUGCUAACGAAACGAACCAUAGAGUACUUAGUACCGGUGCUACGGAAAGAUAUGUUUUUAGAUCUUGCAUUUGAAAUCCUCCUUCUUUCUUCUUUAUUGUAUUACAAUAUAUAUAGUAAUAUAUAUAACUAUAGAUGUACAUGUAGUUAAGAAGUUCUUGUAUUUGUAUAUGUAACCCCCCAUUUUUAAAAUUAGAAUUGAAAUAUUGUCUACUAGAACGAUCUUAUAGAUUCCAUUUGAAAAUGGAAACGCCUUUUUAUGUAAAUUUGAAAUUGAUAGGAUUUGCCUAAAAAAAGUAAUUUUUUUAAUUAUACUUAUAUAUAUGUUUGUUAUCUGAUAUGAAACAAAAAAAAGAAGGAUGUGGAAAACAAGAUAGGAAUUGUUUACAAUGACACUGUAAACCAAUCGAAAGGGAUGUAGCGCAGCUUGGUAGCGCGUUUGUUUUGGGUACAAAAUGUCACGGGUUCAAAUCCUGUCAUCCCUACCUAAUUACUGCUCAGAAGAGCAGUAACGAGGAAUCCAUUUUAGAUUUAUGCUUCCUAUGAUAACCGGGUUCAUGAAUUAUGGUCAACAAACCCUACGAGCUGCAAGGUAUAUUGGUCAGGGUUUCAUGAUUACCUUAUCCCACACAAAUCGUUUACCUGUAACUAUUCAAUAUCCCUAUGAAAAAUUAAUAACAUCAGAACGUUUCCGCGGUCGAAUCCAUUUCGAAUUUGAUAAAUGCAUUGCUUGUGAAGUAUGUGUUUGAGUAUGUCCUAUAGAUCUGCCGGUUGUUGAUUGGAAAUUGGAAACUAAUAUUCGAAAAAAACGAUUGCUUAAUUACAGUAUUGAUUUUGGAAUUUGUAUAUUUUGUGGUAAUUGUGUUGAGUAUUGUCCAACAAAUUGUUUGUCAAUGACUGAAGAAUAUGAGUUUUCAACUUAUGAUCGUCACGAGUUGAAUUAUAAUCAAAUCGCUUUGGGCCGGUUGUGGGCGAGGAGGGAUUCGAACCCCCGACACCGUGGUUCGUAGCCACGUGCUCUAAUCCUCUGAGCUACAAGCCCCACCCCGUCUCCACUGGAUCUGUUCCCAGGAGUACCCUACAAAAAAAGGAACCUUUCCUCUCCCCAGCCAUUUCGGGUUAAGAAGAUGUGAAAGUGCCUUUCUCUCUAUAAGAACGGUGCGUUCCGGGGUGUGAAGUGGGAUAUAAGGGAUUUCAUAAUUGGGGUUUUGAAUAAGACAACCUUUUCAUUUUUCAUUUUUUUCAAUAUGAAAAAGUAAUAAGAAUGAGAGGUGUUAAGCUUUUCAUCAUCCUGGCGUCGAGCUAUUUUUCAAUUAUUAAUAUAUAAAAUUAUUAAGGGUAUAUGUGUGAUACACAAUCUAUUAAUUAUAAUUAAUUUGAUUUCAAUACCAUUUUUUUAAUCCUAUCCUAUAUUAACUAUCGAUAUUUAGGUCUUAUAAUACUUCAGGAGCUAAUGAAACUAUUUUAGUAAAGUUUAAUUGUCUCAAUUCCCGUGGGAUCGCCCCAAAAACGCGAGUUCCUUUUGGAUUUCCUUCUUGAUCAAUGACAACUGCGGCAUGCGGUGAGUUAGUAGCAGUGGGUGGCAAAGUAGCUUUGCUACCUAUUCCAUUAGGAACGGCCGACUUUUUGGUACAUCAUAUUCAUGCAUUUACAAUUCAUGUGACGGUAUUGAUACUGUUGAAAGGUGUUUUAUUUGCUCGUACCUCGCGGUUAAUACCAGAUAAAGCAAAUCUUGGUUUUCGUUUCCCUUGUGAUGGGCCUGGAAGAGGAGGAACGUGUCAAGUAUCUGCUUGGGAUCAUGUCUUCUUAGGACUAUUCUGGAUGUACAAUUCUAUUUCGGUAGUAAUAUUCCUAGUAUUCAUUGAGACAACAAAGGACAUUGGAGCAAAUUCUUUUUGAGCAACAAAGUUUUUAUGUCGCAAAUUCGAUACAAACAUAUUAAUCGAAUUUCAUAGUAAUAGAAAUACAUGUCCUACCGAAACAGAAUUUGUAACUUGCUAUCCUAUAAUCUUGCCUAACAGGCAAAGAUUUCACUCCGCUAAAAAGAUGAUUCAUUCGGAUCAACAUGAAAGCCCAACUACAUUGCAUUGCCAGAAUUCAUGUUAUCUAUUGGAAAGAGGUUGACCUCCUUGCUUCUAUGGUACAAUCCUCUUCCCGCUGAGCCUCCUUUCUUCCAUGAUUAACUGUUGGCACCAGUCCUACAUUUUGUCUCUGUGGACCGAGAAGAAAGGACUCACUGCGCCAAGAUCACUAACUAACACUAAUCUAAUAGAAUAGAAAAUCCUAAUAUAAUAGAAAAGAACUGUCUUUUCUGUAUACUUAUAUAUACUUUCCCCGGUUCCGUUGCUACUGCGGGCUUUACGCAAUCGAUCGGAUCAUCUAAAUAUCCCUUCAACACAACAUAGGUCGUCGAAAGGAUCUCGGAGACCCGCCAAAGCACGAAAGCCAAGUAAGAUUUCAGGUUCUGAAUCUCGGUUAAUUGAAUCUCCUGCCCCAGGUAUUAUUUCGAGACGUUCUGUAUAUGAGCCUCUUCAAACAGGACUUAUUGCUAUUGAUUCCAUGAUCCCUAUAGGACGCGGCCAGCGGGAAUUAAUUAUUGGUGACAGACAGACCGGUAAAACAGCAGUAGCCACAGAUAUAAUUCUCAAUCAACAAGGUCAAAAUGUAAUAUGUGUUUAUGUGGCUAUUGGUCAAAAAGCUUCUUCCGUGCCUCAGGUAGUGACUAGUUUACAGGAACGAGGGGCAAUGGACUACACUAUUGUGGUAGCUGAAACGGCUGAUUCCCCAGCUACGUUACAAUACCUCGCGCCUUAUACAGGAGCCGCCUUGGCUGAAUAUUUUAUCUUAGAUUAAUAGGAUUUUCCUUCCUAUUAAUCUGGAAAUUCUUCUCAGAUACAAGGAAAUGAUUCAGUUCCAGAGCCAAAGAUCGUAGUUCUCGAACAAGUAAUCGAAAAGAUUCUGGAGCAUCUUCUGGUUUAGGUAUUGUUCCUCCAAUGAUAGUGGUACCAAGUACUUCUUGGGGAGCUCUAAUAUGAUCAGAUUAAUAAGUAAGCAUCUCUUGUAAAAUAUGAGCAACACCAAACCCCUCUAGAGCCCAAACCUCCAUUUCGCCUACCCGCUGCCCCCCCUGCUUAGAACUAGCCUAACGUAAAAACCAAUUUUUUAGAAUACAUAUAAAUUAAAAAAAUCUAUAGGAACCAAAAAAAAAAAAAAAGAUAAUAUAUAUAUAUAUAUACGAAAUAUACGAAAGAUUCCUAUUGAUUUUGUAAAAAAAAGGGGGGGUUAUUACUUUCCCCAUCAAUACGAAAUAUACGAAAGAUUCCGUUGCUGUCUCGGCUGUGCUACCGGAGGCUCUGGGGAAGUCGGAAUAGGAGAGCACUCAUCUUGGGGUGGGCUUACUACUUAGAUGCUUUCAGCAGUUAUCCGCUCCGCACUUGGCUACCCAGCGUUUACCGUGGGCACGAUAACUGGUACACCAGAGGUGCGUCCUUCCCGGUCCUCUCGUACUAGGGAAAGGUCCUCUCAAUGCUCUAACGUCCACACCGGAUAUGGACCGAACUGUCUCACGACGUUCUGAACCCAGCUCACGUACCGCUUUAAUGGCCGAACAGCCCAACCCUUGGAACAUACUUCAUUAAAAUUUCAUGUACUGAUUCUUGAAUACCGACUAUGUUAGAAUAGUCAUGUGGUAUGUUCUCAGAUUUUGCACGUGUAAUACAUGUUCCUUCUAUUUCGCCAAGUAAAGCUCUUCGCAUCGCAAUGCCUAUUGUGUCGGCUUGACCUUUCAUAAGUGGAGACAGAAUAAAGCGUCCAUAAUAAAGACGCUUACUGUCUCUUCUUGAUUCAACACACUUCCACUGUAGUGUCCGAGUAGAUACUUUGACUUUCUCUCGAACCAUAGUAAUUUUAUUUGAUCAGAUCAUUGAAUCAUUUAUUUCUCUGGAAACCCUUUCAGCCUUUAUUUAGUUUUAUACACGUCGUUUUUUAGGGGGUCUACAACCAUUAUGUGGCAUAGGGGUUACAUCUCGUACAAAACUUAAAAGUAUACCGCUUCUACGAAUAGCUCGUAAUGCUGCAUCUCUUCCUAGUCCAGGGCCUUUUGUCCUUACUUCAGCUCGUUGCAUACCUUGAUCCACUACUGCUCGAAUAGCAUUUCCUGCUGCGGUUUGAGCAGCAAAAGGUGUUCCUCUUCUUGUACCCCUGAAUCCACAAGUACCCGCGGAGGACCAAGAAAUCACCCGACCCCGUACAUCUGUAACGGUCACAAUUAAAAUAAUAUAUUCAAUUCCCGUCGUUCGCCCGUGAUGCCCGGGACCAAGUUAUUAUGAUUUCUUUUUCCGCCUUUGUAUUAAGCUUCUCUAUUUUUCUUAAUAAAUGCUUUGCUACAAAAGGAUUUUUUUUUAGUGAACGUGUCACAGUUAAUUAACUCCUUUUUUUUUUAAGACGAAGAAAGAAAUUCGAUUUUCUCUCCUAUUUACUACGGCGAAGAAGAAUCAAAGUCUCACUAUAUUUUUUCCUUUUUCUAGUUCUUCUUCCAAGCGCAGGAUAACCCCAGGGGGUUACGGAUUUUUUUCUACCAAUUGGAGCCCUCCCUUCACCACCUCCAUUCUAUUAAAAAAUAAAAAAAAAUACAAAAAAUUGAAACAGGGUGAUCUAAAACUGUUGAUCAAAUAAAAUAAUAUAAUUAAAAAUUUAUUGACUAUUUGACAGAAUACAUGCAUUAAAAUAAGAAGGCUUCUUAUUCCACAACAACGAAAGCACUUUUUCACUCUUUUCUAUACUAGGGGAUUUCACUUGGAAAAGAAAAUGUUCCAUAGUAAUGGAUUCGAGUCCAUAACCAUGGGUUCCAGUGCACGAGAUCUUGUAGCACUUACCAAUGAGGCCUUAUCAAUUAGUAUUACACAGAAGAAAUCAAUUAUAGACACUAAUACAAUUAGAUCUGCUCUUCAUAGACAAACUUGGGAUUUGCGAUCCCAGGUAAGAUCGGUUCAGGAUCAUGGGAUCCUUUUCUAUCAGAUAGGAAGGGUUGUUGCACAAAAUGUACUUAUAAGUAAUUGCCCCAUAGAUCCUAUAUCUAUCUAUAUGAAGAAGAAAUCAUGUAACGAAGGGGAUUCUUAUUUGUACAAAUGGUACUUCGAACUUGGAACGAGCAUGAAGAAAUUCACGAUACUUCUUUAUCUUUUAAGUUGUUCUGCCGGAUCGGUCGCUCAAGACCUUUGGUCUCUACCCGGACCCGAUGAAAAAAAUAGGAUCACUUCUUAUAGAUUCAUUGAGAAUGAUUCGGAAACGAAGUGACUUAGACAAAUCUUUUUUAUCAAUAACCUCAGACCAAUCAAUCGAAUAUUGAUUAAUACAUAAUCGAUCGAACACUACUUGAAAACGGCUCUUCCGCUCAGAAACGAAAUGUUUCAAAUGCUCCUGGAAAUUCUUGCUCCCAUUGGACCAUUUGUAUCUAUAUGCAUUAGGAUCCCGAUUUAUGGAUCUCUCGGUUCGAGAAAGAAAAAUAAGAGGAUCAAACCAUUUCUUCUGACUCUUUUUCAAAUUCGAUAAAUGUUCGUUGAUCGUAUCUUUCAUUAUAGUUCUAUGAUUCAGAGUAUCAUUUCCUAUUAGAUCCCUUUGAAUUCCAUAUUCGAAGUUGCGAUCAGGUCUCUUCAUUAAAAAGAAUCGAUUCAAUAUAUUUCUUAUGUACCCAUAGGGACUAUAUUGGAAUUGGAUUUAAAUCAGAUUUCGGAUCAAUCUAUAUUGAUUGACUGCCUCCAUUAUGUUGUUGCUAAUCUAAUUGUUCAAUCAAUUGAUACCUAUAAUAAUUUCUAGAAAAACUAAAAUUAAUAUUUUGUUGUAGUAAAAUAGAAUUUCUUUCAUUUAUGUAGUAAAGUACAUCAAAAGAAAAUAAUUCAUUUAAUAACAUUUUAUUUUUCAUAUUCUUUUUCCAAAAAGUAGAUCCGACCUUGCGAAAUUUAAUGACUAGAAGAGCUAUUGAUAAUAAUGAUCCGACCUUACGUGCAUCAUUAACCACUGGGACUGGAGAGCUGGUACUAAUAUUGCAGACUGAGGCAUGUUGUUUAAAAGACCUGAAGUAGCAAAACCCUGAAUAAAAAUAGCACUUGGCGCAGUUAUUGCGUUUAAGUGAUUUUUUUUUAUUAAAAUAGGAAACUAUAUGAAUAAUUGCAAAAGCCCAUGAAAGAAAAAUUAAUGAUUCAUAUAAAUUGCUUAAUGGAAAAUGUCCUGAAUAAAUCCAACGGGUAAAUAAUAAUCAUGUUAUACCAAAAAACAUAAUUACGAUUCCUUUAUCUGAUGAAUAAAAAAAUCCUAUGAUUUCAUCUAAAUUAACUAAUAAAGUUAAAAAAUAAAUUAGUAGUACAAUUGAAACGACCGAAAAAGAUAUAUGAGUUAAUAUAUGCUCUAAAAUCGAAAAAAUCAUAAAAAAUUUGUUAAAAAUUAAUAAAUUAAUACUAGGUUUUACCCGAUUUUAGAAAACAAGUCGGGUAUUAAUUUGAUUAUAAAACUUAUAAUAUCUCUUUUAUAAGAUCUUAUGCCGCUACUCGGACUCGAACCGAGAUGCUCUAGCACUGCUUCCUAAGAGCAGCGUGUCUACCAAUUUCACCAUAGCGGCAACUUGUUCAAAAUAAUACUAACAAGUUUUUACUCAAUCGUCGAGAUUCAAAUUUUAAAUAAAGAAGCUAAUUUAAUGGAAUUUAAAAUUGAUUUUAUUACUAAGAAAAUGCUUUUUCUAAAAAUUAAAACUUCUCCAAAAUCCUUAGAAAUUUUAACUAAAAUUUGCCUAAGUUGCUCAAGAAAAAUGAAAAACAACAAUUGUCAAAAUAUCUAUUUUCAUGCAUCUUUUUAUAUUGUACAAACAUAAUAUUUUUUGAUCGCUUAAAAAAAAUAUCAUAUAUUAUUACUUAUUAGUAUCUAAUAUUCACUUAAUUGUGGAUAGAUACUUUUAUAACUUUGAUUCCAAGUAAAGAAUAUAAGAAUUAAGAGAAAUAAUAAUUCCUAAAGGUAUAAAGUGAAAUUUUUUUGACUUAAAUUAAUUUAAAGAACCUGUUGAUUUCGCUAAAAGAUCUUGUAUUUCCUAGUUAAGAGGAAAUACAAGAUCUUUAUUUAUUUUUUUAUUGAUGGGGAAAGUAAUAACCCCCCCCCUUUUUUUCACAAAAUCAAUAGGAAUCUUUCGGAUAUUUCGUAUAUAUAUAUAUUAUCUUUUUUUUUUUGGUUCCUAUAGAUUUUUUUAAUUUAUAUGUAUUCUAAAAAAUUGGUUUUUACGUUAGGCUAAUUCUAAUGAUUCUAGUGUUUUUUAUUUAUUUUGUUGUAUAAAAAAACUUUUUGAAUUACCUGUAGAAAGCGAUUUUCCUAAGUAGACUUGUCUGUAAGGACAUGUAUUUCUAGUACCAUAUAUAGCAGAAUUCUACGAUAUAUAUAAUAUAAGAUCCAUCCGUAUAGAUAUCAUCAUCUACAUUCAGAAAGCCGUAUGCUUUGGAAGAAGCUUGUACAGUUUGGGAAGGGGUUUUGAUUGAUCAAAAAGAAGAAUCUACUUCAACCGAAAUGCCCUUAGGCACGGCCAUACAUAAUAUAGAAAUCACACUUGGAAAGGGUGGACAAUUAGCUAGAGCAGCGGGUGCUGUAGCGAAACUGAUUGCAAAAGAGGGGAAAUCGGCCACAUUAAAAUUACCUUCUGGAGAGGUCCGUUUGAUAUCCAAAAACUGCUCAGCAACAGUCGGACAAGUGGGAAAUGUUGGGGUAAACCAGAAAAGUUUGGGUAGAGCCGGAUCGAAAUGUUGGCUAGGUAAACGUCCUGUAGUAAGAGGAGUAGUUAUGAACCCUGUCGACCACCCCCAUGGAGGUGGUGAAGGGAGGGCUCCAAUUGGUAGAAAAAAACCCGUAACCCCUGAUGAAGCUUGGGUGAAACUAAGUGGAGGUCCGAACCGACUGAUGUUGAAAAAUCAGCGGAUGAGUUGUGGUUAGGGGUGAAAUGCCACUCGAACCCAGAGCUAGCUGGUUCUCCCCGAAAUGCGUUAAGGCGCAGCAGUUGACUGGACAUCUAGGGGUAAAGCACUGUUUCGGUGCGGGCCGCGAGAGCGGUACCAAAUCGAGGCAAACUCUGAAUACUAGAUAUGACCUCAAAAUAACUGGGGUCAAGGUCGGCCAGUGAGACGGUGGGGGAUAAGCUUCAUCGUCGAGAGGGAAACAGCUCGGAUCACCAGCUAAGGCCCUAAAUGACCGCUCAGUGAUAAAGGAGGUAGGGGUGCAGAGACAGCCAGGAGGUUUGCCUAGAAGCAGCCACCCUUGAAAGAGUGCGUAAUAGCUCACUGAUUGAGCGCUCUUGCGCCGAAGAUGAACGGGGCUAAGCGAUCUGCCGAAGCUGUGGGAUGUCAAAAUGCAUCGGUAGGGGAGCGUUCCGCCUUAGGGGGAAGCAACCGCGUGAGCGGCGGUGGACGUAGCGGAAGCGAGAAUGUCGGCUUGAGUAACGCAAACAUUGGUGAGAAUCCAAUGCCCCGAAAACCCAAGGGUUCAACAUUUUUCUGUAUCCGUGGGCAAUGAGUUUCGAUGUACUAGGGGUAUCCGCUUUUAUAGAAGCUUUCAUUUUCGUGCUUAUCCUAAUUCUUGGUUUAGUUUAUGCAUGGCGAAAAGGAGCGUUGGAAUGAUCUUAGUUCGUUUCCUGAAUACUUGUACAAUAACAAUAAAAAAAAGUAAAAAAAAAACCAUUGAAACAAUUAUGAAUUCCAUUAAGUUUCCCGUACUUGAUCGAACAACAAAAAACUCAGUUAUUUCAACUACGUUAAAUGAUCUUUCAAAUUGGUCAAGACUUUCCAGCCUAUGGCCGCUUCUUUUCGGUACCAGUUGUUGUUUUAUUGAAUUUGCCUCAUUAAUAGGCUCCCGAUUUGACUUUGAUCGUUAUGGGCUAGUACCAAGAUCAAGUCCUAGACAGGCGGACCUUAUUUUGAUAAUAUAUAAAUUUAACCUACUUUAACUUUAUAUCUAAUUGAAUGAGAUUUCUUAUAGAUAUUCAUUCGGUUUUUCUUGGAUUAAACAAAAGAGAGUAAUUACAUGAGUUUCAAACUUUUGUUUUGAUUUAAUUAAUAUAUUAAUUAAUCUAAUAAUAAGUUUUAUCUUUUCUCCUACCUUCAGAAAAAAAAGGCAUGUCCACUGUUAUUAGAUAUUAGAAUUUUCUGAAAGGUAACUAUCCCGCUUUCAUAUAUAAAUUUAUAUAGAAUCGUUGAAAAAGACUUUUUUCAUACUUUUUUUUCACGAAUUUGACUCUUAGCAACUCCUAUGUUCGAAGCCAGAUGUUGUCUAAUUAGACCACGAAUUACAAAUGUCUGGAAGAGCUCUAUUGCUAUUUCGCGAGGCAAUCCACAGCGAUGUAAUGAAAGUAAGGGUCCAACGACAAUCACCGAACGCCCCGAAUAAUCGACCCGUUUGCCAAGCAGAGUCUCGCGAAAUCUUCCCUCUUUUCCAUCAAUUACAUCCGAAAAUGACUUGUAAACCUUAUUAUGACCAUCCCUCAUGGGUUAUCCACGGAUUUCAUUAUCAAGAAGUGUAUCCACGGCUUCUUGUACCAAUUUUUCCUGACACAUUACUAAUUCCCCUGGUGUAGAUCUACUUGUUGUUAAUAGAUCAGUAAGAGUAUUGUUCCGAUAGAUAACUCUUCUAUAGAGUUCAUUAAUAUCUGAACUCAUCAGUUUACCCCCUUCUAUCUGAAUGAUGGGUCUCAACUCGGGAGGCAGAACCGGUAAGAGACAUAAAACCAUCCAUUCCGGUUCUAUAUUUGUUCGAAUAAAAUGCUUAAUAAAAGGAAUUUGAUAGUUAUAUAUGAGUGAAAAAAAACUGCUCAGAAAUUAGCAGUAAAAAGAAAAAUUAAGUCUCAUUUCCUAUGUACAAAGGUUAAAUGGAAAUAAACGUAAGCGUAAGAAUCGCUUUACCCCAAGGUUGGUUGAUUAGUCAGCCGGGCUUGAAGCGGGUUAAAAAAAAUAUUAUCCGUAUGACGUUUUCACUAUCAGUUAUAUAAAUUACUAUACAUAUACAUAUAUUACAAAGUGAUCGGUAAUUAGGUAAAAACGCGAACUGAGUGGAUUAAACACAAAAUCUUAACUCGGAGCAUUUCGCAUGUGAGUGAAAGCUGAAACGACAUCGACUCGCCGUCAAAGGAUGGAGGAUGUGACUUUGGUUUUCUUGUCCGAAGAACAUUAGGGUUAGAGACAACUUGUUAUAUCGGGCCGGAUAAGGAACAAACUCAGCAGCUCGAAGCCCAGAUAAAGAACACACAAACGAAGCCCACUAACGAAUAGAGUUAAUGAAACGAAGCGUUUAGCAGGAGCGGACGCGUGGCGGCUGGAGGAUGCUCGACUUUCAUAUGUGGAGGGUGACGUGGACGAACGUGAGAGAAGAAAACAUGAUUAUAUAUAUAUACUAGGGUCGGUCCGCGCUACGCGCGGGAUUUGGAUUAUGUGUCAUUUUCAUUUGAACCAAAUCGUAAAAGUAUUGUUUGUUAGGUAUUCUUUAGUUUCACGCUGUAUUGACUAUUUUACAUUAGAUAUUUGGACGAAAUGGUGGACUUCACGUCGUUAGAUAUGUAAGUUUGAAUGUAUGUGAGCUGUAUUUUUAGAGCCGUUAGAGACAUUGGGCUAUUACGUUUGUUAAUGUGGCCUUAUAUGGGCUUGACGAAAGUAUGUAACGUUUAUAAAUAGUCGAAUAUGUUGUUGAAUCAAUUUAUUUUUGAUUUUGUUAUCUUCUACUCGGUUUAGUAAUAUCUUAUAAUACAAGCACUCGGUGAGUUUUAUAUAAUUUUAGUGCAGCGUACUCCUACCUAAUAGUAUAUUUAUACGGUUGUUUUUUAAGAAAUUUGCAUAUGUUUCUAUUUGUUUAAUUUUUUUUAUCCAUACCAUUUAAGAAUCCAAUAAGAAUAAAUGUUAACCUUUUGUAUUAAUUUGCAUUGCUUUUAAAAGACUUCUUAAUAAGUGGAGAAGGAAUUUCAUGUGUUUCAUGUGAAAUUGUAGAACUCAGAAAUUGAUUUGUUUUAUAUGAUAUUAGGGUUAAACCCGUCCUACUGACGGGUAAGCAAAUAAAAAAUAAUUAAAAAUAGAUUAUAUUUUAAUAUAUAUGUAAGAAUAUUUUGUUUGCUCUAAACUAAAAUAAUGUUAAUCUUUACUAUUUGUUUUUGUUUUUUUUUAUUAAAAAUAAAAGAAUUUAUAAAUUAUUUUAUACAUUUUACUUUUUUUCUUUUUAUACAUUUCUUAACCUACUGUUGUAGAUUUAUUUUAUUUUCAUAAUAUUAUUUUUUCAAUAGAUAUAUUGCAAGCUAUAUUUUUGGAUCAUGUAACACUGAUUCACUGAAUAGCUAUUUUGAACAUGAUUUUUUAAAAGUAUAUUAUUAUGAAAUUAAUUAUCUAUUAUAGUCUUUUACUCUAAUAUAAAGUUAUAAAGUGGAUUCAAAACAAUAAUUACUUUAAAAUCAUAAUAUGCAGACUUUGAUAAGCAUAUAAACCUUCGACCAACGGUAGUUGGAUAUGGGCAAGUCUUUAGGAUACAAUUCAUUGUAUUGUUGUAUCCAAACCCAUUGGAAGUAAUGUUGAAAAAUUCUUUUGAUUCAGUAUACGAACUCGGUGAUUCGUAAGUUGCUGUAAACUUAGUCUUUAGGAUACAAUUCAUUGUACUGAUGUACCAAGUGUUAUUAACUGAAACGAUUUCUUCCAAAGUAGUACUGUAACUGGUAAUUUUCUAAUGACUUGAGUAGAAGAAUAUUCAUAGAAGAAGAUUAAAGAAGAAUCAUAGUCUAGAAAGAAUACUAUAUACAAUAACACAUAGACCAAAUCCUUGUGUACACUCGUAUAUUUUUUCUACAUCUGGGCUUAUAUAUUAGUAAAUAUGAUUAUACCCUACUUGCUGUUAAGACUCUUUUUAUAUUUAGACCAAGGUAGUUUGUUGAUGUUUCCAGUUUGGGAGAAGGCUACACAUCAUUUCUAGCUUCUAGUUCAUCAAAGUACUGCAGAUCUCUAUUUUGUAUUCAUCCUCUUUUGUGUCCUCUCUAUCUCAGUAGCCGUACAACUGCAGCAGAUACACAUCUAUUUCUCUUUUCAAAAGAUCAUGUCUGUCAUGUUUAACGUCCUAAAGGAUGACGCAAUCGACAUAUACGUUCAUGAGACAGCCUCCAUACUUUGAACAUGAAUAAGAUUAGAUGACACAGGGAAAGAAAUAUCUACCUGAGACUUUUUCAUGUACUAUAGAUUAAGAACCGAGAUCUGAAUGUGUUCUGUUUUGACUGAUCCUAAAACCGCAAAUAUAAGACCUAUUAAUACAGUGCACCAAGAAGAAACUGUUGCAAAAGUAUUCUCAGAAAAAAUGGAAUUGCAAGUGCCUCACCUUAAAUGAAAGAGACAUGUCUAGCUUCUGCAUCAGUUUCCUUGUCGAAAAACACAUGUGUUCCUGAGGUGGCAUUCAAGAACAAACGUCCUGCAGAAAAAUAUUCCAUGUGUGUUUUAAGAAUAUUAGUCUCCUCACACGUAAGCACUAAGCUUUGAAAUUAGUAUAAGUGAAGGUAUCAGGUAUGCAUGUGUUUUUAAUUCUAGACAGAAAUAUACUUCCUACCAUCUUUGGGUAUAUGCUACUUGCAACAACAACCUUCAAGUUUCUUGUGAAAAGAGAUCGCUUGUGAGUCAAACAGACUGAUAGUGUCAAAGAUAUGUGUGUGAAAAGGAAGGCAUAUCAUAAAAAGGUCAAUAUAUAUGCAAAAGGAAAUUAGAUAAUUUAUGAAAGUCUUGAAUAGAUUCAAAUAUAGAAGAGAUACCUGUCGAUCUUCAUAGUCCACAUAACUCGCUCUAGGAAUGUCAGUCACCGUACUUCUCAUAGCAGUGAGCUCAGUAAUAACGUAAUGACGUCUGAGAGAUUAAUAACACCUUAAUUUAUUGUAUGUUUCAAUGAUAAGUCUGUCAUAAACAGUCUUUAAGAAGCUGUACCUAGAAGAUGUGUGUUGGUGUUGGCUAGGCCAAGAAGCGAAUCGUGAUCACCGAACCUGAAACCUUCUUCAGGAAUGUGAGAAUCUGGUUCGUUUUGCACAUCUAGAUUGGUUGAAUCACCGUACUGGACUGUCAGAAGCAAGUCUGAAAGCCUGAAGUUCUGGUUGCACAACCAGUGAACCAGCCUGGAGACGGUCUCUGUAAGUAGCUAGCCGGUGAACAUUCAUGAUGGCUGGCAUGACGGUUGACUGUAACAAAUGUGAAAGAGUUCUAAACAACAUUGAAAAAACAAAAAUAGGUUCAAUGAAGAUCUAAAUCUAUAUAAAAGUAUCAUCCUUAUGAAGAUGCUUGCUGGAAAAAUAAAAAAAUACUAUGAGCAUGAGAUAAUAAAAUAUUCAAAUCACCAAGAAUCAGCUUCCCAGAAUCGGAGCAACCGGACAUGGACGGUGGAAGAGCAGCCACCAGUCUUCAAAUCACCAAGAAGAACAGAUGAGUUAGCCAUGAUUGAGAAUUUUCUUUGUUUUCUGGAGAAUCACAAAUGUGAGGAUGAUGUUCAAGAGUAGAAAACUUACCCUUUUAUAGGUAAAGGAAACCGCCUUGGUGUUGGAUGAGUAUCAUUAAUGAGACGUUGUGCUUGAUUCGCGUCGGUGGAGUUAAGACAUCUCUUAUGAAUGAAGACAACUUUUAACGUCUGGAGGUUAAGUACCAAAUACGAAACGACGGAUGCUUGAUACCAAGGUUCUCGAGGACGAUUCGGCUGACUUGAUUUGGUCUCCAUUGUUGCUCGAGCUCAUUCAUCGCAGAGAUAGAAGACGACGACUAACCCUAAUUCAAAGUGAACAGACAAAAUUAGAUACCAUUCAUAAAGCAUAAGCCCAUACGAAAGACCAAAUUAAUUGUAUCCUCGUUUAAAUGAAACUGUGCGUUUUGAUGAAACUGACAGGUGUCGCGCUCACAGCCAUCAACUUAGUGACGUGGCUUCACCAGGAGAGAGCAAAACACUCUUUUAUAUAUAUAUAUACUAGGGGAAGCCCGCGCUUCACGCGGGAUAUGGUACUUUGGUUAUAUUAUUUGUGAUUUCUCAUGUUAGUGUUUUAGGUUAACUUUAAGUUUGUUUGGAGCAUGUUAGGCGGAUCAGUGUGAUUUAGUUAUGGAUUCUUGAAAAUUGUGUUUUUUUGUAGAUGGAAAUAUAUGUAAUUCUAAAAUAUUUGAUUGUUAGCCAUAAUGGAGUGACAAAUUUCUAAAAGUGUAUAUAGCUUAUAUUCUGGAAUUGGUAUUUUCCGAAGAUGCGUAACAUGUUUAAAUUUAUUUAUUAUGAUACUUGAAAUAGGAAUUUAAAAUCGACGGAGUAGAUAUUGUGCUCAAAUUAUGAAAACAAAUCUUGUCAUCUGCUUGUAAUAAUAGCAUGUGCCACACAAACUUUUAAAGUUGUAUCGGUGACUAUUAUUGUUGCUCUUGUGUUCUGUUUUGUCAGAUAACAAUCAAGUCUAAUAUAUUUUACUAAUGCGUUUCCAACAAUUUUCCGCUCGGAUUUUAUUUAUUUUCCAUCUUAGGUAAUCCAAUCCAACAUUUUUUAUCGCCCUCAAGUUCUCUCAUGCGUAACAUUAUUAUAUCUUCAAGUUAAUAGUAUUGUCUUUUUUCAAUAGAAUGUAAAAUUAAUUCAAACCCAAAUUUUUUUUUUCUGUACAAUAUUGAGCUAGAGUUUUGAAUUGAAAUGAGAAUACUGGCUAAAAUACUUCUUUUAGUGAUGUGUCAUGUGUUAUCGAUCUUGUACCAAACCAGAUGAUGAUGCCAAGAUCAUAGUUGUAGUCCGAUGUUUUCCUGAGUGCACUGAAUUUAUUCCUCACUUCCUUGUCAAUAAUCUUGAUCAGAGAUUCUUUUGGACUUGGGUUCUCACCAUGUUGCCUGCUGAUACUUUCUCUCCGUAUGUGGUAGAUUAAACUUUGAAAUGUGUAACAUAGGAGAAAAAAAAUAAUACAGCUUGCUUCUGAUUGAGAUGGUCGCUCAAGUAACAUGUCCCAAUCCUUUGUAAAGUCAAAACCUAGGAGCCUCUCCAUUAAGUUGCUCCAUAUUGCCCCUGGAUAAGCACACUGGAAAUAUAAAUGAUGAAUGGCCUCCUCUACACCGGAACAGAGACUGCAGUCUAAGGUCUGAGCCGUCCCCCAGUGCUUUGUCCUAUCACUCGUUGAAAGGCGAUUACGAAGUUAAUAGUACUGUCUUACAAACCUUCAGACGUUAUGCACAACUAUGGUAAUCCCGCAUGGGCGAAUCUACUUGAUCAACUAAGGGUGCAUGUGCACCCACAAUUUUUUAAAAAGAAAUUGCCUUACAAAGAAAAUUAUUUAAAGUCUAAGAGAAACUCAGUUAUAAAUUCAUGUAUGCACCCACUGAUAUCUUAACUUUACUCUUUUAAUUUCACGAAAUUAUGAUUUUGAUUUAUGUGAUUUAUACUUCACUAAAAUGUGUCCCCAAUUAUUAUAAGUUUUAGAUCCGCCCAUGUUAAGACCUGUCACCCGUCAGUGCUGUUUUUUUAAAAAUAAUAUCGCAGUCCACGUAAUAUGCCUGCUAAUUACUGCUAGUGCGAAAGAAAAAUAAUCUUAUAUUCCAUGUAAUGUGCCUGCUAAUUGUUGCUAGCUAAUUAUACAGAGCUUUUUUAUGAUAUAAAAAUUAUAAAUAUUUUUUCAUGUUCUUUUCAAUUCAUUCACAUAUAUAUAAAUUAUAAAACUAUAAAUAAAAUUAUAUAUUCAUUUUAUGAUAUAAAAAUUAUAAAUAUUUUUUCAUGUUCUUUUCAAUUCAUUCACAUAUAUGUAAAUUAUAAAACUAUAAAUAAAAUUAUAUAUUCAUUUUAAACCAACUUAUAUAGAUAUAUUAAAAUUAAUAUUUUAAUGACAUGACAUAUUGUAAAUUUAUAUUGAUUACAUAGUUUUUAUCUUUUUUUAAAAUAAAAUUAAAGCCUUGAAAAUAUUUAUAAUAUCAAUAAAUUAGUAUAAUUAAAUUAAUAUUUUAUUAUUUGUUAUUAAAAGUUAUAUUAUUAUUUUUAUCAUGCUUUAAAUGAUAGUUGGUUUGUUUUUAAAUGUAACAUUAAUUAUUAAAUUAUUUAUGAAUAUUUGGUGUUGUGGUAAUAUAUUUGGUUUAAGUAAUAAAACAUUGAAAGGUAUGAAAAUUUCAUAAAUUUUUUAAAAUUAUAUAGAAUUUUAGAAGAUUACACUUCAAAAUUGCUGCAUUUAAGUAGAUUGCAUGACAGAUUGAUAGAUGAUUUGUCUCUUUCUCUUUUACUAAAACUACAUCAGAAAAGAAUAAUUGUUAAAUAAAAUGAAUCAUAUUUUGAUCGGUAAAAAAACCACUAAAGUAUUUAUUUAAUGACACAGUUUUUAACAUUACACCAUUUUACUAUUUAUUUUAUAUUUUAUAUAAAUUGAUGUGUAGUUUGUUGGAGAAUAUUGAUGCUUAAAGGCAUCACUACAAUAUUGAUGCUUUAUAGAGUUAGAAGUGAAGUUCUUUCACGUGGUUGUUUUUUUUAUAGAGUUAGGUCUUUCAUGUGGUUCUUUUUUUCGUAUUCACCAUUUCCAAUACAGUUAAAUAGCUUUACAUAUUCAACAUAUGCAAUUAAGAUAAUUUGGAACAUUUCAAGAUUGUAUAGAAUAUGAUUUCAAAAGCUAACAUGAUCAAGAAAACAUGAAUUAUAUGACUUUGAUUUCGUUAUCACCCAUCUGCAAAUUAGGGUGUAGGCAUAGCUCUCCAAGAAUAUUCAAUCUUUCAAUAUCAACUCUUUUUCUGCACCCGUAACCGGAGGAUCCGUGAGUAGGUUUGAAGCUGGAAACUGACGGAAUUCCACAUGAAAUUAUUAGACACCCAAGUAUGUUUUGUUACCAUUUUCUGCAUUCUCCAUUAGACACCUUAGUAUUUUUGUAUUACCCUUGUAUGCAUUCUGUUGGGAACCUUUUCUGUAUUUUGUUAGAAGCUAUGAAACAAAAAGCAACAGGUGGUGUACUAUAAGAAGCUUACUCCAUCUAUUAGUGUUUUCUCUUGUUUUUGUUUUCUGGCCUCUCGGUGUUUCCAAACUUUCUCUCCACAAUCUCAUUUAGAAUUUUGUGUGUGAACUCAUAUCCUAAACCUCAAUGGAUCUUUUGACAAAAGAAAAAAACCUCAAUGAAUCAACCAUAGAUUAGGGGAUUAAGUAACGUGAAUGGAUAAUGUAUAUGAAAAGAGAUAUUGCACAUAUAGUGACUAAAUCAUAAAAAAACGAACAAAACAAUUUUGGUUAUCCAGUUGCAGAAAGAUUCAACUAUAUACAGCUGAACUAUCUGGCUUGAAACCGAGUUACAGAGAUAUGCAGCUACACAAGUAUCUUCAAGUUCACAUGCACUUCUCUGCAGCAAAAAAAUCAUAGUUGCCUAAACAGUAAUAUUGAGAUCUAUGGAAUUGAUUAACAUAAAAGACGCAAAAGUAGCAAAUUCAAACAGGCUCACCGGAAGUCUCAGAGUCUGAAGGUGGAACGAAACUGAUUUCUCUGUAGAUGUCGACAUGAGGAAGAAGGAACGAAGUUCCGUUGCUUGGGAAGUCAACAAUUUUGAUCUGAAUUUAAAACCAAAUCAAUAGCUAUUAGAGAAGCAAGUGGAGAGUUCUACAAAUGUAAAUCACAUAACACUAUCUCGUCAAGAAACAUGAUAGGGCUUACCUUUUAAUAGCUGGAGAUUAUGAGAAAAGAAGUGAAGGGGAAGACAAUGCUUCGAUUCAGACUAACUCGUAACGUCUCAAGUUAUUUUUUCAGAGAGAAGAUCGAGGCUACGCCGUCUUGAUCCACUUGGCUGAGUUGAUGACGUAAGCAUUCCCCCUGUAAUAAACCGUCAAGCCAUUGUUGAAGGUUGUUUGUGUAAGGAAGUCGUAGGGUUGAAUCUGGUGAGAUUCUGAGUAUUUUGCAUCUCUAUUUAUAGUUGAAGAAAUUAGGGAUGUACGAUGGAGGUGAAGGAAGGGACGAUUAAAAUCAAACAUAGUGGGAGAGAUUGAAUGAGAGAGUUAAUGGUUUCAUUAAAGACGAUGCUUCGAUUGAACCUGAUUUCGUAACGUUGCCAGAUUUUUGUGGACUCUGAGAUGAAGAACUUUGAUGGAAAAAACGCCGAUGAAACAUCGGAGUUUCCAAGAUAACUCUAACUACAGAUGGGCCAAUUUUAAAUUUCAGUAAAAGCCCAAAUAAGUUAAACUCGUCACAAACAAAAUUACGGUAUCACUUAAACAAACAUAAGGUCCAUCGUUAAUGAAACGCAGCAGAUCGGACAGAUGGGACACAUGUCACUCUGAGAAUCAUUGAAUUGAUGACGUGGCAGAAGGAGGAAGGAGAGAAUCUCUUCUUUAUAUAAUAAGAUAUAUAGAUAGAUAGAUAUAUAGAUUACUUUGUUUGUUUGAUGCCUAUACUUAAAUAUAGGGGUGAAUUGUUGUAUAUUAAGUUCUGAAAUUCGUUGAUUGCUGUGGGAUUUAUGUUUCUUUGUUAUGAUUAUGAUGCAUGUGCUCUGUUGGUAUGGACGUGUGUGUUGUAGCAUUCUUCCUUGCGCAAGGAAUUAUUACAUGUUACAGUUGAAGUCUAAUUAUUACAGUCCAAGUCUCAGUUUGUAUGACCAAAUUUUGUUUGCUUUCCAAGUAAAUAUUGCUAGCCAAGUAAAGAUCGCUAUAUAUAAUAUAAAGGUACUGGAAACAUUAAGAGUUUAGGGAUAAUUAUAAAAGAAAUUUAGAAAUUGGGUUGAAUGGUCAGGUUAUCAUCUCCAAGAACAUUUGCAUUUGCUUGUAGUUAUAACAGUCAGUGCACCUAUCAGAAGCAAUGAACAUGGCAGUAUCAGAAGCAUCAUUAGCUGACAUCUCAACCCGGUACAUAGUGGUGAAAAUCAGAGACCAUUUGUUAUCUGUAAAGGCCAUGAGAGGUGCAUUAGGACCAGUUAGAACGGGAUAAUGGAAAAUACCAUAGCCUGGCUUGUUAGAACGGGAUAAUGGAAAAUACCGUAGCCUGGCUUACCUUACAACCUAACCAUGUUUUCAUCAUGGCAGGCUGCACACGUGAAGGAUGAGAACCCCCGCUGAAGUUCUCGGGAGCACUUGGAGCAUGAUACAUAUCACCACCCAUAUGAUGUUUCAAUGUUGACAACUUCCCCAGUACAGAGGAUCCCAUGCAGUCUAUGAUUGAUUUAGUUUCUUAGAGGCAGAUUUAAAACAAUAUGAGUGUGUUGUUAAGAUGAAGUCUAACCUGGGAUGGUGAAUUAAGGACCUAAGCAUUUUGCUCAGAUAGUGUCACUAACUUAAUCUUCUUCACACUGUCAUAUUUGGAAGCAGUUGAGGGAGAACUCCCAGUACUCCUCAAAACCUUGUACAAAACACAAUGUAACAGUACUGAAAGUUUUAGCUUAUCUUACAAAACCUUUUAUUUUUUUUGAAAUUAUCUUGCCAAAAGAAAAAACAGCACUGAAAGUUUUAGCUUGAAUACAUGAAUAAUAGACAGCUGAUGCAAAGAACCUUACCCUUUGAGGUAGCUGUCGCCAGCAGUUCUCUUGUUGUCGAAGUAAAAAUAGGUUUCUGAGGUAACAUUAAGAAAAUGACCACACCAUUGCCAAAUUUUCUUUGCAUUAAGCUGCAUAGCAAAGCCGUCAAAGACACUCGUAAAGAAUGUAGUAUCCCUGCGUUUGGGGAGAGAGGAAUGCAAACUCAUAUCAACUGACACCAACAUUAUGUUUUUUCAAAGAUUUUACCAACAAUAGAAGGAUAAGUGGGCUGUGGGUAUGACCUGUGAAUGCCUGAAUUUACCAUAAUACGUCGAAUGCUUUGUGUUUCUUCAUGGUAAGCAGUAGUGAUACCCAUAUAACUUUAACAACAACACCCAUAAAACUUUAAGAGCUGAGGAAGUAAGAAAAAGAUACUGAAAUCCUUGAGUUGAGUUUGAUAAAUGAAACAUACCUUGCAACUUGGUAUGUGUGUUCAGUGCCGGCCCUUGCAUGAAGCCAACAAAGCACCAGCUUGCGGCCAUGUAUUUUAUUAACUUAAUUCGGCCUCAUUUCGUACGUGUUUUCUUUAGUGUAGUGGUUAACUCUUGGUCACAUUUUCAUCAGAAUAAGGGUUCGACACCCAGUGGUCACAAUUCUACUUUCUGUUAUUUCUUUAUGUUUUUUUUUCUUUAAAGAAGUGGCCACAUUUUUAUUUUUGCAUCCAGCCUUUCAAACUCUAGGACCGGCUCUGUGUGUGUUAGACAACAUCAUCAGCUGAUGGCAAUUACAAAAGUGGAACUGUUCCAUCGUGAUUUACUUACUGUCCUCUGCAAUGUCUUCUGCAAGCUCAUUCAAAUAGAUACAUGGGCAUCAACGAAUCUAGAGCUUUGGCUGCUCCUAGUAGAAACAAAGACACACGCACACCGUCGCAGGCAUCAUUGUCACCUGACAAAUAUCAAACAAAAAAAGUUAUUAAAUUUAGUAUAAAUUAAAAACAUAUUAAUCCUGUGAAUAAUUAAUUUAUUUUAAAUACUAUUGGUUAAAUAAAUAAUUUAUAAAAACAGAGAUAUAUUUCAAUCAUUUUUUCAAUAUAUGUGAAAAUUUUCAAAGUGACAUUUUUCAUAAAACGAAUAAAAUAAUAAGUAGACAGAUUCACUCAAAUAUGUCACAAGUUUAAUCCUUUCAUGAAUGUUGUUUUCAUUUGUAAUACAGUUUUCGAGAUACCUUAUUUUAUAGAUUCAGUAUGACCAGCAUAAAAAAGAGAAUAUCCCUUCCUUGAAAUUUACCUAACGAAUUCAUACAUUAAUUAUAAAUAAAAAAAUGUAAGUUACUAGUAAUCAUCAAAAUCCAAACUUGAAAUGUCAAUCGAGAAAUCUUCAAUAGAAGACCAGUCAGUUUAUUCUGGGAUGCAAAAACAAUUGGAAAUUACCUUUUUUUCCUUAGAACUAUCAUAGAAUUAAAAAAAUUCACCCAAAUUUUUGACCUGAAUUUAUAUGUACAUCAAAUAAUGCUAUAGACAUAUUUCCCCACCAAAACAUAGUUUGAAAGCUAUUUAUCUAGAAAUUUUAAUAUUAUCGGUUUAUUGUAACCAAUUAAAUCACUAUUAAACAUGCUUUAAAUUGAAUUUAAACCUAAUUUUAAUCAGACCCAACCUAAAAAAAAUGCCAAAGAAUAAGUAGUUGUGUAUCAUAAUACCUGGCCUGCCUUUGCCUUCGUCUUCUUCACCCAGCCCCAUCUUCUUCACGGACCAUUAAAUUGCUCUAUAUCGCAACUGUUGAAUCUAAAUUCAACAUACUUACUCGAGCGUGAAUUUGAUCAUGGUGUGACUGGUAACCAUCAUAGGAACAAUAGCAACGGAUAGGAAAGGAAUGAGUAGGAACAAAAUUUUAGGAAUGAUGAGGAAUGAUAGUUCCUUAUCAAAACUAAUGAGGAAUUAAUUUGUUCUAUAAUUCUCUACAAAUAAAGGAAUGAAGAGGAAUGAAAAGGAAAAUCUAUUCCUCAUGAAUGGUAAAAAAUUUAAGGAAUAUUAAGGAACAUAGUGUUCCUCCUCAUUCCUUUGGCCACCAGUCAUAAUGAUUUUGUGUAUUGAAGUCCGAGCGCUGUGAAUACAUAAAUAUUUAUGCUAAGGUACAUUCCUGUUUAUUCACUAUUUUUCCUUCGGUUGAAUUUUUUUUAUUAUUACUUAUUUAUUUUACAUAUUCUUGCGAAUGACUUCCAUAAACAACGAAUUUGCAGCUUUGAUGGUGUAACGUCUGCAGAUGCAUUAAGUGAAGAUGAGGUUGUGAUAGGGAGACUCACGAUCCAGAAGUUGAGAGCUGAGCUGGAGGUCGCUCGGGUUAGAGAUCUAGAGAGAGCUGUUGAGCUUGAGGCGACAAACAAGAAGUUGAGGAUGACAAGUCUCAAAAUGUCUUAAUCUAUGCAGGAGGUCACUUCUCUGACAGCGAAGAACAAGGCACUGAUUUCUGAUCGCAAUUUGGAGAUUCUUUGGGCUUCUUGAGCUGCAGGUCGGGCCCUUGCGAAAGAGUACAAUAGUCUUCUAGGGUCUUUGAAAGACAAGUGGGAGAGGAAGAAGCUGGAAGAAACGGUGGAAAUCCAUUUACAAGAGGUAACCGCGUAUAUCUUUUUGACGGAAAUCACAGAAGGAGGUCUUCAGGAAGCCGACGAGCUUCAACGUCUCAAAGAGAAUGAUAUUGAGUUUGAUACCGACUUUGCGCUGGCUACGCUGUCAGAUCAGGUCCUUGACGAGCUCAUCUUCUGCAGGUUUUUAAAGAAUCAAUGACACAGGGUGAUCUCCCAUCUUCUAGGGUGGCCAAUGAUGAAUGUAAGGGUAAAUUUAUGCAGGUGCAUUUGUGGUACUACAGAAAUGUAUAAAUAAGUAGAAAAAAUAGGAAAAUAGAUCAAGAGUAUUGUAUUAUUGAUCUUUAGAGAAGGAACUAAAAGUGUUGGUGUAUAAACCCUAGUUUUAGCCGUCUAACUCUAAUAUUUGUGUAUAAAUCCAGUUUUGUCAUUUUCUUUAAAAUACAGUUAAUAAAAUUAACAUUUUACUUUAAUGAAAUAAUUAAGAAGUUAAAAAAGAAGAAGUAGAACCCUAUCGUCGUCUUUGACUUUCUUUCUCAAUCAAAGAGGCGAUUUCGUUUUCGCCGCCAACACCCUCUUUCUCUGACCUGUCUAAGUUUGUCAGAGAGCUUUAACUGGUCGUAACAUCUCUCCGUUGUCCUCCUUCUUUCGCCUUUCCUCUUUUAGAACCACCAAUUACAAUCACUUUGUAAUCUCCGCCGAUUACAAUCGGAGUUGUUCAAGCUCGGAAGUAGCUUCUUCUCGCUGAUAAAGGACGAUUAGCUUCACAUUGGUCUUCUUUUGCUCUUUCUUCUUCUAUUUUCAUAACCUUUCUCCAGAAUGCCUCUCAGAACAUUUACUGCAUACUUACGUGCCUCACAUGCUAAAGAGUAGGAUAUCUCAACUCCAUGAUCAUUACACAUAAAUUGGAUGAUAUCAUUAGGUUUCGGCCCUUCCUUGACACUUUCACACUUAUGCAUAAUGAGAGUACCAACUGUUUUUGAUGAAUUUUUCCGAACAUAAUUGUUUCUUGUUGAUGAAGCACAUGAAUGAUCAGGUAGAUACUUUUUGAUGAUAAAAUAUGAAGAACAUGUUAAUCCCUCUGCACAAACACACCAUCUGCAAUCAUCAUCUGCACAACGAAUGUACCAAACUUUUUUAUCUGAUUUGUCAAGCUUGUACACGAAGUUAUUUUUCAUUGCACAUAUUUUCAUUGUUGUCUUCAAAUCUCUUUUGCUAAUAAAAUGUUGACCCUUCUUCACAACAUCAACUAGAGAAAAGCGGACACACUUUCCGUCGAUCAUAUCUUUGUUACCCUUGUUAUCAUCAUCACUUUCAUCCAGCUUAACAUCUUCUUCUACAAGCUCGGUUUGACCAUCAAUAUCAUCUGAAACUUCAUAUGACAUAGGUUCUUCCUCUCUGUUAGGCGACUCAGUAGCUUCUUCAUUCAAGUUAAAAUUGACCUUGAUAUUGCUUGUCUCGACCUUAGAUCGAAUACACACACAUAACCACGUCGAAGCUUUGAUCUUCACAUAUGUAAAAAAAAUUGAGUUGUCGAUCAUUGGUGAUGAAAACAUGUGGUGUGAUGCCAAUGAUCAAAUCAGAGGGUAAGUAACUCAGCUCGAUAUUGACCAUGUUUACAUCGAUUCCAAAGUCCUCACAAACCAUAGCUCUUAGGUUGUCAAAGGUUUUACUUGUGUCAAAGUAAGUAAUCUACCUCUUUUUCCUUCAUCAGCAAGAAAUUUCCAUCCACUUCUUUUGGACGAUUUCCAAAAACCAGAAGAAGCAUAGAUGUCCAUAUACAGAUUGACAAAAGUUUGGAGGAACUAUGAAAACAAAAGAAGCCCCACGAGUUAUUUCCAAAUCGUUGUGGCAACGAAGAAGACCCAAAUUUAGGGAACAAUAUUUAAAAAAGAAAAUAAAAAAAUGUAAUAGAUUUAGGAAAAUUUUGUAACUGUUUUCUCUUAGAUUUUCGUAUUUUGUUUACAAAUCUUGUAGAACUUACAUUCUACCAAAUUAGAAAGAGAUGAAGUGAUAGAUAGAGGAUACCAAGAUUAUAGAUAAAAGAAAAGUGAGAAGAAAUUAUAUUCUGCCAAAGAAGAUAUGAGAAAUUUAUUAUGUCCUAUGAUAUACCAAAAAUACAAAACAUAGAAUGAAACGUAGAUUUGUUAUUCUGCCUUAGUAGAUCGAAAUGUUUUCAUUGUAUUGCGGAUUCUACCUUGGUUAAAUCAUUGUGUCUUCAGUAGACUGCAUAAUUUAAUUCGGCGUAGAUAGUAGAUCUGAUAUACUAACACCUUUACUCCAUUUUUGAACUUACUAUUCCAAAUAUUUUUUGAAUCCAAAAAUAUUUUUCAUAUAUGCACAUGCUUGACUAUUUCAUGUUUUAUACUUUUUUUUUAUUUUUUUGCAUUGUAAAUAAAUGGAUAUAAUUUUUGUUUACAAAAAAGAUAGUAAAAAUCCAAAAGUGAUAAAAUUUGAUUUUGUACUAAAGAGACAAUAAAAGUUCAAAUUUCUCAAAAAUAAACAAAAUGCACGCCUACCGCUACACCAGCUUAAAUUUUGCAAAUAAGUUUUACAAACAUUGUAUAUAUAGAUCGAAAUAUAGAUAAAACCUUUAAAAGAAAAAUCUCUAAAUACUCUCCAAUUAAUUUCUGACUUUUUGUUAAUUCGAUAUACCCAACUCAACCCUCCAAUUCACACCUAUCAUAAUUUCGAACAUAGACUACAGCUACUUGUGUACUUUUACUCAACAUCAACUUCAUAUUACCAAGAAGGGAUACAAGAUUUUCCACCACAAGAGUAUUUGAACCAAACUUACAACAUAGAGAUUUAGUAACACCUAAGAUCCCUACUUGAACCAAACGCUACCUAAUCUAUGUCUAUGUUGUAACUUUCAUCCCAUUGAACACAAACUCCUCCUACAAUCAGAAAGAUUUGAUUCUUAAACCACUUAAAUUAGACCUCUAGCGCAGAAUCACUUACUAACGGUACUGACAAAACCUAUUCUGGAAGUCAUUAAAGCUCUAAGCUUUUGGGACCUAAUGAUAGGAGUGAUGUUCUUGGCCCAAGAGCAACAACACCAAAGGUGCAGACCCAAAACAGCUUCGUCACCACCAGCUUUCAGCUCUCUGUUCUUCAGCCUCAAACCUGACAACGAUGUCCGACUGAAAAAGUGGGUUUCAGAAUCAAGCACGGGCCUGUACUGCAAUAAAUAGAGGUGUGGAGCUCUAACCGGCGGCAGAGAACAUAAAGCACUUUCCGGUGCUGGGAUGUAGACCUCCACCAUGAACCGCCGCAGGUUGACUUCUCCGGUUGACCACUCCAUCGUCGUCUCCUUUGGUACGUGUUGUUUCUGAGAACCAGAAGACAAACCUCUAUACACAAGUUAUCGGUCCUCUCCUCUGAUUGCCUCACCGCCUCGUUGGAGCAAAGAUCUAGGGUGGAGGAGUCGUCUUGCCAGACAACGCGCCGAUACUGAGCUUGGUUCGCCAGAGAUCUAAAAAGAGAAAACUAGAUCUGGCUCAGCAGAACCCUAAAAGCCGACUUCUUCCUCUUCCACCGUUCCACUAGCCUCGCCACUCCUCCAAGGCAAGCUUGAGCUAGACCAUCACCCACACGAUGCGAGUUUCCAGCUUAACUCGACCAAACCAGAGUCAUCCGCAUAUCGGCCGGGAAGAAAGCAUCGAGGGAGAAGCAAAAAAAAAUAUUAAGGAAAGCAAGGGAAGAGGAGGGCCUCCGGCACUAGAGCUAGGGUUUCUUCUUCGAAAUUUAGAGAGAUGCGAGAGAUUUUUGUUAGAGAGAGAGGGAGGGAGAAUACAAGAGAAACUCUUGUACUUUUAUUGUUUAUUGUUUUAGGUUGGUAGUAAAUUUGUUACUUUUUAUAUAUUUUAAGCUAAUUAACUCUGGAUUUUUAUGAAUAACUUUUGAUAAUAGAAAACAAGGAAAAAAGAAAGAAAGAGGGACACGUAAAGCCCCCUGGGCCCACAAAUAUAAGAAUAUCCUAGAAGACUUGGUUACAGGAAAACCGAAAUAUAUAAUAUUUAUUAGUAUUAAAUAGAGCGUGGGUUAUCUUGUUGAAUCGGAGAAUCGAUAGAUAGGGUUACGUGAGUUACUUGUAUCGAGAUCAAAGCACAGGUUUAUAUUCUCUCUAUUGAUCCGUUGAUUUUGGUUGUUUAAUUGAAAUCAAAGGUAGCUAGGGUUCUUGAGAUUUUGUAUUUUUGCAGAAUUUGGAUUUGUGCAUAUGGCUAGUCUUAAUGGAAAGAUGAAAUUCAAGUAUGAAGAUGAUGAUGAUGGAUAUGGAGAUCCUUCGUGUGUCGAGUCAAAAAUAGAGCCUAAUUAUCCCAUCAUGGACGACUCAGAAGAAGAUUACGUGGAUGAAGGAUUCGAUUCAGCUGAACCAAAUCAAGGAAACGUAGAUGUUAACUUGAAGAACGUGUUGAGUGGGUUGAUAGCAAUCGUCACCGGGAGCAACAAACAACCACCUUCUUCCUCUUCUUCCAACCAGAACGUCUCCUUCCUUGGCUCCUCCGUUUACAUACCAAGUGCCCCGCCUCUUCUUGAACCCAACUACAGUGUUUACAAGGACUUGCUCGAAGCUGAACCUCCUCACUGGCUCCCCGACAGUUCCACCACUACCUGCAUGCACUGCUCCUCUCCCUUCACCGCCAUCACUUGCGGCAGGCAUCACUGUCGCUUCUGCGGAGGGAUAUUCUGUAGGAACUGCUCCAGAGGAAGGUGCUUGAUGCCCACCAGGUUCCGUCAAAGGAACCCCCAGAGAGUCUGUGAUUCCUGCUACGAGAGGCUUGAUCCUUUGCAAGGGGUCCUCAUUAACUCUAUUAGUAAUGCUGUUCAGGUUGCAAAGCAUGAUGUUGUUGAUUGGACCUGUGCAAGAGGCUGGUUGAAUCUCCCCAUUGGUCUUUCCAUGGAAGAUGAGAUCUACAAGGCUUCUAAUACCUUGAGAGGCUACUCCCAGGUUGCUAGAUCUGACCCUGAGAAAUCCAUCCCUCUUGCCCUUCUUCGUCGAGCUCACGGUUUGGCCAUCCUCACUGUCGCUAAAGCUGGGGCCUUUCUCUCCUACAAUCUCGGCACUGGUCUGGUUAUCUCUCGGAGAUCAGACGGGUCAUGGUCUGCUCCAUCUGCCCUACUCUCGCUAGGUCUAGGAUGGGGUGCUCUGGUUGGGGGUGAGUUGAUGGACUUCAUUAUAGUGCUGCAUGACUUGAAAGCUGUCAAGACCUUCUGCAGCAGAAUGCACUUCUCUCUAGGCGCAGGGUGCAGUGCAGCUGCAGGACCUCUAGGGAGAGUCUUGGAGGCUGACCUCCGCGCUGGUGAUAGAGGCUCUGGCCUCUGCUAUACUUACAGCCGUUGCAAAGGUUUAUUCCUUUAUAUUGUUUUAGAUAAUAUUACAGGAUUAUUUGAAUUAUUUUUGUCUAACAGGGGCUUUUGUGGGAGUAUCCCUUGAAGGCAAUGUGGUGACGACGAGAAGGGACACAAAUGUUAACUUCUAUGGCGAUCCAUACCUAAGCACAUCUGACAUUCUACUUGGGAUGGUGGAUCAACCCAAAGCGGCUCAACCAUUGUACACUGCGCUCAAUGACCUCUACGCAGGUCUACGUCAGUAAUCUCCAUUCGCAUUAUAAACAACUCGUGUGAUGAUAUAUCUUUUAAUUGUACAUGUACGUAGAUAGCAAUUGUUUCUUUCUACAACUUAUGAAACUUUUAGCAAUUGGUUAAUUUAAUUAUGGAUUCUUUACCGUCUUUCAUUCAACAAAUUUAUAUAUAUAUAUAUAUAUAUAUGAUAAUAAUUAGAAUGAAACAUGCAUUGCAAAAAAAGAUCGUAAGAGGAGGAGGAAUCAAUCAUUUUAAAAAGAAAAGGUACAAUGAAAGAAGAAACGUGAAGCUAAGGGACAAGUAAGCCAUUAGAGGUCUUCUGCGACUUGUUCCUGUAAUUACAGACGCUACAGUUUGGGCACACAUUCGAAUCCAUCCGCUUUCGCGUAAUCCUGUCAUGAUAAACAGUCAGUACACACACAGGCCAUUGAGUGGCUUGCUUGUUUGCUUUACCUUGAAGGCGCCAAGGCCUGGCCUUCUGUCACAUCUGAACUGAGCCCAUUCUCCACAGUUCACCCAGUCACCUGCCGUGCUACUGCUUCAACCACAUUCUUAAUGUACCUGCGACAUAGUAAGGAACAUUCACUAUCUACAUACAUCAUCAUGAGCAUACUCAUACUCCACUAUAUGUCUCUUAGUGUCUUUUCAGCGUAUUGCCCACUCCCUGCCAUAUAUAAAACCUCUUUUAAAACAAAGACUUUCAACUAGAAAUCAAAUCAUACUUUACAGUCAUUCUGUUUUUGAGUGUGGUUCCGCCAUCUUUUGAGAAAACUUGUCCUUUCCAGUUGAUCCCAUUCCCUACGUGGACUCCACGUGUUACAACCUGAAAAUACUCUCAUUAGCUCACCAUAAUGCUGUCUGGGUUGAUCAAAAUCAAACCACCUCUCGGUACAAGUUAAACAGAUCAAGCCGUUUAGAGUUGAACUUUGGUUGUGCACCAAAAAACUUUGGUUGUGCACUGGGAAACGGAUUAUGCUACUAGUAAAUGAAAAGUUUUAGGUUACUCCUAGAAUGCGGUAAAUCUUCAGGAUAUAGGGACAUAUGGACCAGAUUAUUUCAAUAUAUCUAAGUUGUGCCUAUAAAAUGAUUACAAAAGUGGUUAGGGUUACAAAUACAAUGCAAAUUCUAAUGAAAAUGAAGAGGGUUUGGGAAAAGACUCCGAAGAUCUAAGAUCAGACUUCAAUGAUGAUAUGAGGUCUUCACUCUCUAAGUUUCUCUUUGGAGGUCAGGUAUGCGGAUCCCCUUCUUCUGAGGUGCUUCUCCUUCAGGCGUUUGAUCAACAAUGUCAUGUCACAUGUGUAAUUUGUACAGUUGUUAGGCAUGCCUUUUUCAAGCUAGGCCUAGCAGCUUUGUGGGAUUCUGUAUUUUUUAGUGGACCUGUUUUGAAUGGAAUCCACCUCCAACAAACGAAAAGCAAAAAUCAUGCCAAAGUUGCGGUUUAGACUAGCCGGUGAAACUAAAGUUUGCAUGUGAGCAACCUAGAAGAGUUAACUUUUACUUAUAUUGAAAGAUUUUGGUGACCGACCACACUAUAUUAGAAGAGUUAACCUAAUGGUUACUGUAUAUUAGCCUCUUUAAAAACUAAGACAGCAAGAGCGUUAAAUGAGUCUGAAGUAGUGUGGACCACACCAAAACAAAUCAAACCUGUAAUCGCUAGACCAACUCAUGAGGCUAUUAUUUCCUUUAUUUUAUCAUGAUUGUAAUGUGGUAAAAUGAAAAAAAAAGUACUGUACUUCUUGUUCUAGAAAUCGGUUGAGGCGGCGGCGUCUAAACGGCCAAUUGAACAUUUAAAAAGGAAAAUAAUUUUUAUAGAAUGAUUUUUAAGAAAAUUGGUCCAAACAUUCAAAAACCUGAUAUAAAUGCCCGAUAAAUCGUCUAAUAUCUUUUAACGAUUUUUUGAACAUUGGUUUCAGUCACAGGGACAAUUUAAUAUUGAAUCUUCGAAGAACCAUGAUUCAUAAAAUUAGGACUCUUAAUGUAACAUGGAUUAAAGUCUUGGAAAACAAAAGGCAUAUAUCGAUCGUAUGCAUAUAUAUCAUACUUUUUACAAUAAGGAACUAAAUAAGGCCUUGCUUGUUUCUUUUUUUUUUUGUCACAGGGCCUUGCUUGUUUCAAAUGCAACUUUUGCGCUUCUCUGCCCUGACGAUAGAAAUGCCUUUUUACUUUUGUGGAAUAUGAAUUUUAAAAACGUAACAAAAGAAUGCUGUUUGCGCUUAACAAUACUUAGAGCAUCCACAUCAAUGAACCCCCUCUUGGGGUUCAUCUUUUCAGUUUUUUAUUAUUAAAUUUUUUUUCUUUUUCUUUCUGGUUUUUUCUAAAAAAAAAAAAAAAAAUAGUGUAUGGACAAAUGAGCUGAGUGUGUGAUUGCCAAGCCGCCUGUCCUGGUUCAUCAGAAAAAUACCAAACAAGAUAUGAAACGAAACCAAGUAAAACCAGAUAUAAAAUACCAAUAGCACUAAAACUAAACUAAGCCAAAUCAAAUCAAAGUUGUUCGGCUUGAGUUUGACCAGUUCCUCCCAAACUCUACAAAACAAAACCAGACUCUGUUCUAAACCAAAAUGGUCACCCCUGAAUAGGAAACCUACAUCCGUGCUUAGCCCUUGAUGUGAAAGCAAAAAGAAAGGCAUUAAGAAUUUACUGAAAGGUAGGACUUGUACCUCUUAAGGUCCACAGUGCAUCUCACCGAGAGUACAUGAGGGUGUUGGCAUGUUUGCAAAGUUGUCAACUGGGAAAUACACAAUGUCUUGUCUUCCUUUAUCUUCCUCUUCUACUUCGUCUUCUUCUUCUUCUUCUAACCAGUAUGUUUCUAAAAUCUUCACCGCCAUUUCAUAGAUGUCACUGUUCUCAUGAGAUUGCAGGCUUUCUAUUUUCUCCAGUCCCUCGGCGUCUUCUAUAAGCUGAGCAUGUGGGUUUACAUUUGUUUCAGUGCAUUGAUUACCAUCAGCGUGUCUCGUGUCGCAAGCUUCUCCCACCUUCAGUAUCUUCUCAAGUGAUUCUAAACAAAGCAUGACGAGUUGGGUAUCCGAGGAUGUAAGAAUAUCGCACAAAGGUUUUAUGCAGUCUUGCUUUACAAGAAACCUGACACAUUAGCAGAUAUGCAUGAGGUUCGGAAAGAAAGAACUGAACCGCACACGUUUGAGAAAUAUAUAAUUAACCUGCUGCGAACUCUACCAAAAGAAGUUAUAAUAAAUCAAAUGGAGUGAAAACAUUAAGGCUUGGUUCUGAUGUUAGAAUUAUUUUCAUGCCUCUAUGUUCAGACUACUGAAUAUGUCUUCUUGUUGGCUAUAUAGAUUUUAGUUUUGUACAUAAAAUUUCUUUCCGAAUGGACAACCGAAUGAAAGAAAAUCUAAUAGUGAGAAGGUGUAUUGAGUUUUCUUCUACGUACAGGAUUUGCUUGUAAGAGCCACCAGCUAUAGCGUUGCAGAUAGCCCAAGCAGCUUCAUACUUGACAUCAAACUCAGAGUUCCGGAGCAGAUUAACAAGUGCAGGACAUAUAUCAGCAUCAAAUACAGCCUACCAACGGAGAUAAGGAAUUGAAGACAUACAUUGAGAGCAACAUAUUUGAUUAGAAGCGGUUAAAAAGACAAGUUCAGGUAUUACAUAUUGACCAACCUGAAUCUGUGAUUGACAACCAGCUGUGAUAUUAGAGACUACCCAACAAGCUUCCUUCCUGAUGGUCUUAUUAUAGGGUCCUCUAAGAAGAUUUAGCAAGCAUGGGAGCGCUUGAAGAUCAAUUAUAUACUAGGGAAGUCACAAAGAAAAAAGUUCUGAUUCAAAACGAAAUAGAAAAAGCCACCAGUAAUAGUACAAUACUCAACAAAGGAAGUAAGCAAAAUAUCAGCUCUAAUACAAAAUUAAUAUCUCUAGCUGCAUAUUUACCUGAGUUUGACUAUCAUUUCCAGUUACAACAAUGCCAAUGGUGCGAAGAGCAGGAGUGGCAACUGAAGGUGAACGGUGGCUGUCCAGAAAGCAAAAAACCCAUCAGAAUGAUGACUCAGGAUUUUAUUGGUUAGCUAAAGUCUUGAAACUCACACCGAAAGACCAAUAAGUCGACCACAAACAUUGGCUUCAAUAACGGCCUGUAUUUUUUCAUUUGAACCAUCAGAGAGAUACACCAGCGCCCAGCACGUAUAAGCCAAGAGUUCCUUGUCAUCUAACCGAAUGAGUUGUGCAAGAGCUGGUAAUGCAGCACUCACCUGUGGGCAUAUAAUGUACAAUAGCAAAUAAGUGAAAUGUCUGAAAGAAUACGACAUUCAUCAAAUCCAAUCAAGAAAAAAUUGCCAGUCAACCCUAAGCAUGAGCGUUUUUCAAGAUGGAUUUAUUAAUGACACGCCACAAUAUUGAGAGUGCAAGAGAGAGAGAGAGGAGUUAUAACAAAACUCAGGUUGGAUCAAAACUUACCUGAUCAUAGGGAGGCUGUGGCUUCCCUCUACAAAGAUUAGACAAAGUCCAAGCGGCGUUUACAAGCAUAGAAAGUUUGUCUCCAUUGUUUAACUGUAGCAACAAAGAAGGUAGAGCGCCAUGUCCAAGGACUAUAUCACGGCAUCUAGGAGAGUCUCCAGAAAUAUUUCCUAAUGCCCACACAACCUGAUCGUCCAAGAAUGCAGAAGAAUACAUCUUAGAUACAACUGAAAACUGGGAGAGGAAAACCAAAUCGAUUGUGUUGUCUUUCUUGUUCCAUUGCUUUGCUACAGAUUUUUCUGAUACUUUAGUUUCAAAAAAAAAAAAAAAAAAAACUAGACCAAUCACGGACCGCUACGACACAUGGGGUCCGCGCUACAGUGAUGAAUUUUAGGAGAAAGGGAUUCAGCCAAAAGAGCUUUAGGAGAGAGGGGUUCAUAGGAUUGAAUUAUUUUAUUAUUUUUUUUUUUUGAUUUUUGUGUGAACUCCCCCAUAAACCCUCAAUGGGGGUGCUCUUAUGAUUUCAUUUUUCAAAACUUUUCUUUUGUUUUGACUUAGACCAUUAACAAACUUCACAUUUUAGUCCUAUCUACAGAUAAGGUCCAGGUAGUAAUCUAAUAACACAUUAAUCAAGUUAUCAAAAAGUGCAUAAAUUGAAAUCGAGAAGGAUAGUAAAUGUUGAUAGCAACGAAAUCCACAAUGUGUAAGAAGCGAAAGAAAAAGUCUUACGGAUACGCAAGUGGACGGAGUCUAACAGCAACAGAAAAUUAAGAGUCAACCCAAUAUAUCAUAAAAGUUUUUAAGUUUGCGUGCAUAAGAAUCUCAAAAACAGCUGAUACGGUCUAAGUACAAUCGACAUGUCAGGAACAAGCAUCAUCUGUAAUCAAGAGAAGAACCACUCCAAUGUAGAAAAGAGAAGAAAAAAAAAACAAUAACCCAAACUCUGGAAAGCAAGUAUGCUUUGUCACAAUUUCACAGGCUUCGAUCAUUUACUGUUGCAAAAGAGGCUUCAAUUGUGCUGUGAAAAGGUUGGCUAAUGCACCUCGUAUGUCCAUCUGCAAACAGAAAAUUAAAAAAAAAAACUUUACUGAUUAUAACAACCUUUUGUCUAGAUGAGACUAGAACAUGUUUAAUCAAAGUGGAACUUGCCUGUUCACAGCAAACAAGCCUCGUGAGCAGAGGGUAGAACUCUCUCAUGUGUUUCCUGAAUAUUUUGUUGUUCAUGAAGCACAUUCCUUCCAGAACCUGGAACAAGAUGGCAUCAGCAAAUUAUUUUUUUCUAUCGUAGUUUAUUUUAUUAUAUAAAAUCUCAGCGAUGUAUUAUUAUUAUAUUACCUUGACAAUCACGGGAGAACGUAGCUCAAGUACCCGGUGAACAUCCAUGUUCGUAGACUCCCCCAAAGAGGACUGGAGAUCAGAUGUUUCUUUCAGCACCUGUUCACAGAACGACACCAGCUUUCCUUCAGCUGCACCUUCGAGUUUAUCUUCCGUGUCGGAUGCAGCAUCCCCAAGCCCAGUUGUAGUCUUAUGUAAGACAUCCAUAUAUAUGUUGGUUCCUUCCAGCUCUUGUCGGAGAAGGUUUAGAGGUGGCCUAUAGUAUUAAACGAAUUGUUGGAAGAUGCGAUUAUAACUAUAACUCAGUCCAAAGGUUUUGUUUUUGUUCCUAACCUUUCCGCGGAAAUGUGAAUCAUUCGUGUUCUAAGGUUAGAAUAUGAAUUGUAGGAAGCAGCGAAUUCUAUGAAAGAGAAUAAGAUGUCCAUGAUCGCAAUCUUCUGUGCUGUUUUCAAAUUACUCCAGUAUUUUUUCUGCAGAAUUAACAUCAAACACAGAAAUAUGCAAUAAUAAGAAUGUGUGCCCUAAGACCAUACAGCAUAUAGCUAAGUAGAGAAGACAUUUUAACACCUGGAUACUGUUGAUAGCACCAAGUAGUAGUAAUUGUGUGAUGCAUUUGCCUCUAAUAGUUCCAAGAGCUGGGCUCUCUUCUUCUCUGUUGUCUGGCUCUGCAGGAUCCACCUGCUGCAGGAGGAAGUAGUAAUUUUUGAUGAAUAUUCCUCUGUUUAUCACAUUACUCGGAGAAACAAGAGAACUGUGCAUGACAAGCCAGCCAAGGUGUGUGCUCGUAUAAUUACCUUAUGUGGAGAAGAGGGUACAGACACCUCUGCAGCAGAGCUCUUUGGUUGAGAUGUGAGAUUCCUGAGAAAGAGAUUGUCCAUAAAUCUUUGGCCAAAAGUCUGACUCCGCUGGAUAAUCGGAUCAUCCCCUUCCUUUUGUGACCUUCCAGAUGACGAUGGACGACCUUCAGGAGGGAACAUCAAAGUCAAAAACAUGGCGUUGCAUAAAUCUAAUCGUCUUUCAACCAUGCUAAAAAGUUUAAGAGGAAACCUUCAGAACCAUCAUCCUUGGGCUGUAUCCCAGAUUCUUGAGAAGCUCCAUGAAUGCCAACCCUUGGAGAUGCCUGGGCGGAGCCUUUCCCAUUCUCAUCCGGAUUAUGAUCAACUCGGGGAGAAUCAGUGGCAUCAGCCUCUAUAUCUCCAGUCACAACCAGGUUCUUAUUCGGAUUGUCAAAACCCAAAUCAUUUAAUAGCUCCAGCGGUUGAGUUGUGUAUGAUGCAUCUCUAGAAACCGAAAGAAAAAGUUAGAUAGCAACAUUUGGAGAUGAAAAUUGUUGUGAUGAAAGAUGGUGACCUUAUGCUUUUCAAGAGCAUAUCCCAGUCGCCCUCACUAAAUUGGUGACCUCCAACCUCUAUAAGGUGAACCAGUGCUCCUAAUGAAAUUGAAACAACUGUCUGAUCUGAUUUCUUCGCACAGUCUAGGAGCAAGCUUAAAAGUGGAGGCAGCAUAAAACAAACUUCCUGCUCCAAAGGUGAAAAUCCAAUGGUCAAAUUUGCAGCACGCAAUAAUAUGUUCUAACUUUGCAUGUUAAGAAAAAAAAACAUUUUCUGUACGGUUUCCUGCGAUAAACAUGACAUAUACUGCAACAGGUGUGAAAGUUAAUUGAUAAAUAAUGGAUUGGAUGCGCACAGAGAGAACAAAUUAAAGUACCUUGUAGAAUGUAUUAAAGAGAUUACAGAGAAGCUGAAGGGAAUGAAUGCUUGUUUCACGAAAUUGAACAUCCCCCGACGAUACUAAGCCGUCCUUUCCAGCAUGACUCACAUGAUCAAAAAUUGGAAACAAGAUGCGAUGGAAGAUGCUCUCCCAGAAAGGCGUGGAGAACUUUUUGCCUCUUUCAUUCAGCAAAUCAAACAACACCUCCAGAGCGCAGUUUCUAACUUCAGGUCUAAAAUCUGACGUGAGAUCAGAUAAACCAGCAAGCAUCGGAUACCAGUAAUGCUCUGUCACAUCAAAAGUUUCAUCCUCAUUGGUAUUGACAGGCUUGAGAACACCACCCGGUAUAAGUCCCUGAGCAUCAUCAUACGCUAGACAAAUGAGCAAAUGUAGUUCCAGAGGGAGAACUUACAAGAAAGUGAGGGAAUCUGAAGACUGAGAAAUAUGAGGGAAUUUGAAGACAGAGCAAAAAGUAGAUACGAACGGAAAGGAGUGUGGGAUAUAAUGACGAAAGUUAUAAUGGAAGAGUUACAUGCUGAAAUGUUAAAGCUACAUUUAGCUUGAAAUCAUACCUCUGCAAGCCGAUCCUCGCAUAUUCUGAGAAGGGCAAUAGCUUUCAGGCUUAUCCUGUCUGAAGCUUUGUUAUUGGCAAACCGGAUGAGACAGUUGACGCAAUCCAUGAAGCAGUCACCGAUCACCUGGUCAAAGUGUUCCAGAAUAACUGCAAACAAAACUAGUGGUUAAAAAACUUUUAUCCAAACAAUGAAGUGAGAAAAUACACUCAAACUAUGAUAUAAGUUCAAGAGUUUUUGUGGACAGUUUGUUACCUUGCUCCACAUUCUCAAAUGAUUUUUCAACUAUGGAUUCAACAUCGUCAUCUGCAGCUGCUGUAAAUAUCAUAAAAACACUCCUCCAACCCGAUUUUAUACUUCCAACUUUAGAUUUGAUCAUCUACAAGAAAGAAGAAUGAUUAGGUGAUGAAAAAAGGGCUGCAUACAACUGAGUAACAAAAACAAAGGAAAAAUAUUAAUAUUCAAAUUAGCAAAGACCAGCAUGCAACCUGAACGAUGCAGUCAACAAUUAGGCUUCUUAUGGUCUGACUUUGAGUAUUCCGCAUGAUAAUAACGAACGGUUUGAGAAUAUCAUUUUGAAAGGUAAAAUUGGUGAGCUCAGCACGCUCCAAAUACUUCAUCCCGAGCUGUCUAAGAGAAUCUAUGGCAUACAUUGCAAUCUUUUCAUCAUGAUGGCUACCAGCAGAUACGAAAUGUUCUGCAAGGACAGACCAUAUUCUUGCCCAGACCUGGUAUGUCACAAAAGCAAACACAAAUUAAGUCAUAUUAGCCUAAGAUACAUAAUCUAUCACACUACAACAUUACUUAGACAAGAGAGUCAGGAAACAGUUUUAUAACAGACACCAAAAAUUAGAGAUAACCCAAAGUUAUAACAGAACAGAGAGCAACAUUAACAUAUUUUCCACGACUUUUUGAUUAUGUUAUGGUGAAGGCUGCUCAUGCUUAGCGUAUCCAUACUUUCAAGUUGCAUGAGCUGCAAAGAUUGGGUAUGUGUUGUCACCUAUCAUAUGUAACCAUGCACCAAGUAGAUUAGAAGACUAUCAGAAGAGUACCAUUCGAAUACGAGCUAUAUUGUAGUAACUGAUCUCAACGAGUUUCUGCAAGCUGAAAACCCGGGCAGGAGACUGUUUCAGUUCUUCCGCUGAAACACCACAUAAAGCAGUAAAGAAUUCCACAACAGAUUCGCUGGGCAGCUUCACACUGUUUACAAAAACUUGUUCAGCCGGUCUUCCCGCUAAUUCCUUCAAUGAUUGAACAACCCCAUCCCUGGAUAUCUGGUUUGAUCCGUGCAUUACUGUUGCAGUAAUCCCAGGAGUAGAAACAAUGAAUUCAAGCCGAGAAACACAUUCUAGAACUGCAUUCCAGGUAUCUUGAAGGGUAUCAGGUUCUGAGUCACACAGAGCCAGUAAUAUCCUCAAUGCUUCAACAUUUUUGCUCCUCAUUUCUUUCGGAGCAUGCAAGAACGUGAACCUAUGGACAGUUUGACGAAAAAUAAUCAAUAUGCCACAGAUUUCUGUAGUUUACAUAAAUAAAUAGCCAAUACACAGCGAAACCUAAAUAAAUGCUCCACACUGAAACAUAAAAGGCAGUAUGAAAUAAGUGUUGCAGGUUUACCUGACAAGCGAUGUUAGAAAGGCAUAGCGCAUUGUAUCCAUUCCAAGAACAAAAGCAAUAUGUAUGCCAGCUUUAAAUCCUUCCAUGCAGAGAAGAAUUCUUGGUUUGUUAUCACCUACUUCCAUUGUAACGGAGAAAGCAGCAAGCAGAGGCCAGCCAACAGCUUCAACCAUGGGCCUUAUUAUGUCCACUUGCUCUACAGUGUGGAAGACUCCUCUUUUCACUCCAUCCUUUCGGAAAAUUUCCUGUGUUUUCCUAACAAUAUCCUCAGUCUCAGACUUAGCAUCGGCUGCUGAUAUUCGUUUUGGCAAACCCAGAUUAAGAAUACUGACAAGACCACCUUCUCCUCCUGGCCUUUGACUGUUGAUUUUCCUUAUGCUGCUGUCAUCAUCUUUGAGUUUUAUCUCUUCUUUUACAAUAGAAUCAUAUAUCUCUUCGAGAAGUUCAGUUGGAGCACAAUCUUCGGGAUCAGUUGUAGCAUUCAUACGUAUAAAAUCAGAUUUUGACAUUUUAGGCCAAACCAUUGGAUUAUGCGCAUCUGUAUUUAACAUGAUAACUGCAUAGGCUAGAACAUAGGCAGUAUCUGCAUUCUUGAAAAGACCCGGAUUGUCUGCGCAAUAUCUAAUCGAAGGAAACAGUGGAAAAGAAAAUGUUAGCUAUCAAUGGGGAAAAAAAAGAUAAUAUAGACAAAUGUAUAUUUUCAGUUCAAGUAAUAAAUAACAAGCUUAAUAUUUGUAUUCCAUUCAAAAGAUGAUCUAAGGAGAACAUAUCAUACCUCUCUGCAAACUUUUCCAUAAUGCGAUCAAUUUUUUGAGCCUCUCCAGGAAGUCUGAAACCUUUGAGAAAUUCACGAAUAGCUGUAUGAAACUUCAUUUCUGAAAAUUUCAUUGAAUCAACAUAGGCAUGCAUAACAGCAAGAGGAAACUCCUCGUGUUGGCCCAGGUAAUCGCCAAUCAUGACCUACACAUAAGAAUGGUUAUCCCACCUAUAAAUACUGAACAUAAAUUCUGCACAAUACGACUGUUACACCUUCUUUAAAGUCGAAGUACUUCUUAGAAACUGAGCAACUGAAGCAGGAUUCCUUUCGACCAACUUGUUUGCUAUUAGGUAUUCUAUACCCUUCACUGAAUUCCUGUUGAACUGCAAAAAUAAUUACCAAUGCGUUAGUAAUGUGACUAUAGUGACAACCAUCAGGAUGUUAAACAAUAAUAACCUCGGAGAUAGCCGCCUCCAUUGUGGAUUUAUGAGCUUUAGCCUUCUCAAAGUUGCUUGGCACAUCUUCCCUGCUUUUGGUUUCAAUUGGCUCCCUAGCAGAAUCAGAGUCCUCGUUUACAUGUCUUGUACUAUUUUCUGCCUCUUUCCUUAUUUUCUCCCAAUCAACAAGUGAUUUAAGAACGUUCACCAGGCACUGGAAAAUUUUAAGAAAACGGUUCCCCUAAUUGAUUAUUGAAUACUUCACAAGGAACCAGAUCAAAUAAAUAAAUUAAUAGCAAUUUAAGUAAUUUAUUUAUGGGUGCAGGUACAAACGUGACAUGACGCCUACCUGAAGGGAUGAACCUUUAACUGAAGCUGUCUGCGAAGCCAUGGCAGGAUUGGGAUCAGCACUUUGAGUACCUUGAGCAAUUUUGGAGAGUGUUGUUACCUAGAAGAAAAGAAAAAGAUGCAAUAUGAGCCCUAACUAUCAGUCACAUUGCUGACGUACAGUAGUUAUAUAAACAAGAAGAAAAUGGAACACACCAUGCGUUCAAACAAGUUCGGGGCCUCUAGAUCACAAUCAUAGUUUACAUAGACAUCAACAAGCAUCUGAGGAUCUUUACAGACUUUUUCAAGCAUCCUGCAAAAAAAACAAAAAUUCACAAAAAAAUUCACAGAAAAAGAGAUAGUACACUCGUUUAAGAGAUAAUACAGAGCAGAAUAACACUUUACCUAAGAACACCCAUCUUUUGGUCAUUGGGACACUCUGAGUUAUCUAAUGAUCGUAAGACGAUGAUGGGGAAAAAGAUACCAAUUUCACCCUAAAAAUAAGAUUUAGGAUCAGAAAAUAUGGUAAAAGGUAACAAUCAUCGCAAAGAAGAAAUUCAAAACAGGAGACAUCACAUGCUUACUUUUAAACUAUCUCUGAACCGAAGUAAAAGCACGGAGAAUAUACCAGAUGCAUACUGUCAGAAGAUAAAUCCUAGUUAGAUACAACAUUCUAAAGUGAAUCCUCAAACAUCUACAUGAAUUGGAAAAUCAAACCUGAAAUAUGACAGAAGACUGGGAAACUGAAGCUCGUAACAAUGCAUAUGAGAGGUACGCUUUCACCGAAUCAAUAAAGUGAAAGUUCUUCGUAAACGAAUGACUAACUCCUUCUAGCAUACCCUGCGUAUUGCAAACGUAUGUGUUGCAGAAAAGUUGGUCAAACUUAACAAACAAAAGGAACAUUCAGUGCAAUGCAACAUUAAUAACAAUGUCAUCAAUCCUUCUAUGUUUUCAGAAACUCAGCAUAAGAAAAGAGGUAAAUAUAGGCCUUGCACAACAUUAAAGUUAUGAAGAUGGACAGCAACUGUUUUGAGUGUAAAUACAACCUAUAACACAAGGCAUGCCUCAGAUAUUUAGGCAGAAAGCAACAGAGAGUUCAUAGAAAGGACAAUCAUGUCUUACAGCUCUAUUUGACUACAAAAUAAUAAAGUUUAUAUGAUGCUCUAGUGUCAUGUAAUGCCUUUAGUUAUAAAGUUACAAGAUAAUGUAACUAAGUUUACCUGAAGAAGUUCAAGAGACAAUAUACGGGUCUUGGUUGUGACUUCGUCACUAUCUUCUUUCAUGCCCAUCUGAUACAAAAUUUGGAAAAUAUGUCACAGAAGCACCACAAAUAGAUAGUCAAGGAUAGAGAGAUGGAACCUC